This 44-nucleotide non-coding RNA is filed under the name Schistosoma margrebowiei. The record is from RNAcentral. Lineage: Eukaryota; Metazoa; Platyhelminthes; Trematoda; Strigeidida; Schistosomatidae.
GCACUGCUGAGCAGUCCCAAAUAGGACGAAACAGCGUCCAGUGU